CUGAAUCUUUUUUCAGAGUGACGGGCGAUUUGUACAUUCUUCAAGUAAGUUUCAAAAAAAAAUAAAAUUAUUCUCUUAUUCCUGAGUUCUUAUAUAUAAUGCAUGCACAUUAAUUUAACUACUAUGAUCCAUGGAAAUCUAUCAUAUUAUCUUUGUAUUGAUUUAUUUUACACUCUAAAGGGGAGGUGUGAAAAGUAAAAAAAUAUUUUCUUCUUUUUUACAAUAAAAAUAUAAAAAAUUAAACUAAUAGUAGUUAGAAUAACGUGGGGUAUCUAUCACACCACAGAACCCCCCAGUCUUAUGAAAAACCGCCGAACCUUUUAAGUUUCUUUUUGUAAAUUACUACUUUUUAUUUUAUUAAAG
RNAcentral lists this ribosomal RNA (363 nucleotides) under Pseudocolopodacus sp. AH3. RNAcentral describes it as "partial small subunit ribosomal RNA". The record is from RNAcentral. Lineage: Eukaryota; Metazoa; Arthropoda; Arachnida; Trombidiformes; Eriophyidae.